UCAGUAGCUGAGUGGAUGACGCGAUGGCGUUUGUGGCGAAAGGUACUGGGUUCAAGUCCCAGAGUGA
RNAcentral lists this transfer RNA (67 nucleotides) under Schistosoma mansoni. The record is from RNAcentral. Lineage: Eukaryota; Metazoa; Platyhelminthes; Trematoda; Strigeidida; Schistosomatidae.